CAGCUAUAUACUCUUCCUGACCACUUCUAGGUCCGUGAUCAUAUAUCCUGACUAGGAUUGCUGCCUCUAUACUACUGUAAAGACCUAAGCCAACCCUCUUUUGGGAGCCCUCACCUUGGAAAUUAAAGAAACUAUAUACUCUUCCUGACCACUUCUAGGUCCGUGAUCAUAUAUCCUGACUAGGAUUGCUGCCUCUAUACUACUGUAAAGACCUAAGCCAACCCUCUUUUGGGAGCCCUCACCUUGGAAAUUAAAGAAACUAUAUACUCUUCCUGACCACUUCUAGGUCCGUGAUCAUAUAUCCUGACUAGGAUUGCUGCCUCUAUACUACUGUAAAGACCUAAGCCAACCCUCUUUUGGGAGCCCUCACCUUGGAAAUUAAAGAAACUAUAUACUCUUCCUGACCACUUCUAGGUCCGUGAUCAUAUAUCCUGACUAGGAUUGCUGCCUCUAUACUACUGUAAAGACCUAAGCCAACCCUCUUUUGGGAGCCCUCACCUUGGAAAUUAAAGAAAGUAUGUCCUACAAUUCCUGCAACUUGUACAUUUCUGUUGUUAGCCUUUAAUUGUACAACCCGUAGCCAGGUCAGCCAGCAGCCUCCCAUUGUUUCUUCCUAACAUCUAACCUAAGUCUCUGUUAGAAUCCCCAGCUACCUGCCUUG
Molecule: long non-coding RNA, 661 nt
Organism: Protopterus annectens (West African lungfish)
Lineage: Eukaryota; Metazoa; Chordata; Ceratodontiformes; Protopteridae
Exons: 4
Source: RefSeq, a predicted model, not a curated record